CAGGGGACACCCGGGAGAGGGGGGAGGCACAGCCGGGGCUGCUCCAUCCCUCAAAGUGCCCGUGGUUGAACAGGGCUUGGAGCAGCUUGCUCUGCUGGAAGGUGUCCCUGCUCAGGAACAAGAUGUCCUUUAAGGUCCCUCCCACCAGCCAAAUCGUUCUGUGGCUCGUAUUCUCUAAGGGUUUUUCAAGAACACCUGGUGGAUAUUUCAUAGACACAAAGAAAUCCUUCCCAAAGGAGGUAGACAAGCUCUGGAGCAGCACCAAGAGCUUAUAGAGGCUGAGAAGGCCUCUCCAGCCUGAGAAGCUGCAGAGGUUGAAAAGGCCUCUCCACCCUGAGAAGCUGCAGAGGUUAAAGAUAACCAGAACUUGCCCAAACAAAGCCCUGUGAUGUAGUUUCAGAGCUGUCCUUGCUUUGAGUAAAGGGCUGGAGCAGGUGAUAUCCAGA
This is a long non-coding RNA of Parus major (Great Tit), 446 nucleotides long. RefSeq lists it as uncharacterized. The record is from RefSeq and is a predicted model, not a curated record. Lineage: Eukaryota; Metazoa; Chordata; Aves; Passeriformes; Paridae. The transcript has 2 exons.